This 503-nucleotide ribosomal RNA is filed under the name uncultured bacterium. Its description in RNAcentral is "bacterial SSU rRNA". It matches the Rfam family "Bacterial small subunit ribosomal RNA", at positions 899 to 1397 of the family's 1533-position model. The record is from RNAcentral.
ACUCAAAUGAAUAGACGGGAGCCCGCACAAGCAGUGGAGUAUGUUGUUUAAUUCGACGCAACGCGAAGAACCUUACCAGGUCUUGACAUCUACCGAAUCCGGCGUAAUGGCCGGAGUGCCCUUCGGGGAGCGGUAAGACAGGUAGUGCAUGGUUGUCGUCAGCUCGUGUCGUGAGAUGUUGGGUUAAGUCCCGCAACGAGCGCAACCCUUACGGAUAGUUGCUAGUCCGGUCAAACGGAAAGCACUCUAUUCGGACUGCCGUUGACAAAACGGAGGAAGGUGGGGAUGAUGUCAAAUCAUCAUGCUCUUUAUGAUCGGGGCCACAAACGUACUACAAUGGCGCGAACAACGGGGAGCAAUGGCGCGAGCCGGAGCAAAUCCCAAAAACGCGUCCCAGUUCAGAUUGCAGGCUGCAACUCGCCUGCAUGAAGUCGGAAUUGCUAGUAAUCGCGGAUCAGCAUGCCGCGGUGAAUACGUUCCCGGGCUUUGCACACACCGCCCGU